GCAGAGCACUCUACGGGAGGCAGCAGUGGGGAAUAUUGUCACAAUGGGCGCAAGCCUGAUGCAGCCAUGCCGCGUGUAUUGAAGAAGGCCUUCGGGUUGUAAAGUACUUUCAGCAGUGAGGAAGGUGGGUAUGUUAAUAGCAUACUCAUUUGACGUUAGCUGCAGAAGAAGCACCGGCUAACUCCGUGCCAGCAGCCGCGGUAAUACGGAGGGUGCGAGCGUUAAUCGGAAUUACUGGGCGUAAAGCGCAUGCAGGUGGUUUGUUAAGUCAGAUGUGAAAGCCCGGGGCUCAACCUCGGAAUUGCAUUUGAAACUGGCAAACUAGAGUACUGUAGAGGGGGUAGAAUUUCAGGUGUAGCGGUGAAAUGCGUAGAGAUCUGAAGGAAUACCGGUGGCGAAGGCGGCCCCCUGGACAGAUACUGACACUCAGAUGCGAAAGCGUGGGGAGCAAACAGGAUUAGAUACCCUGGUAG
RNAcentral lists this ribosomal RNA (473 nucleotides) under uncultured bacterium. RNAcentral's name for it is "bacterial SSU rRNA". It matches the Rfam family "Bacterial small subunit ribosomal RNA", at positions 328 to 793 of the family's 1533-position model. The record is from RNAcentral.